UUAUUUGAUUUAGUAAUUUGUUUCCGAUUCCUAACGUUACAUAGUUUUACCGCUUCCUUCGCAAAGUUAAUUGGGACAAGGAGAAAAACUAAGAAUAAAGGUUGUGCAAUCAGUAAUCUAAAUGAAGUAAUGAUACAUGGGAAUAUAUGUAAAUUAAUGAAAAUAUUUAUAUAGAUAUAAAAUUGAACUCAACACCUUGUGAUAAAAAAUCACAUAGAGAAUAUAACAGAUUAUUCAAUCACCACUCCUCACUUAUUCAUUUCUAUUAGGCUUUAAGGGCGAAGACAAAUACUAGAUCAAGAAAUUAGUAAUUUUUCUAUCCAUGGUUUAAUUAAUGGCCAAAGGAAUGAUUUUCACUCUUCAAAAUACACCUUUUACGAAAGAUUUGUGGUCCACUAUUUGUUAAAG
RNAcentral lists this long non-coding RNA (408 nucleotides) under Nicotiana benthamiana. Its description in RNAcentral is "long non-coding RNA (NBEN_LNC008231)". Lineage: Eukaryota; Viridiplantae; Streptophyta; Magnoliopsida; Solanales; Solanaceae. The record is from RNAcentral.